Molecule: ribosomal RNA, 1433 nt
Filed under: uncultured bacterium
Lineage: Bacteria
Description: bacterial SSU rRNA
Rfam family: Bacterial small subunit ribosomal RNA
Source: RNAcentral
GUUUACUUCGAGGAUAGCGGCGGACGGGUGAGUAACGCGUGGAUAAUCUGCCUGUAAGACAGGGAUAACGCCGGGAAACCGGUGCUAAUACCCGAUAACCUCUUUGGAUCGCAUGAUUCGAAGAGAAAAGGUGGCCUCUUUACAANNNNNNNNNNNNNCCGCGUCCUAUCAGGUAGUUGGUGGGGUAAAAGCCUACCAAAGCGACGACGGGUAGCCGGCCUGAGAGGGUGAACGGCCACACUGGGACUGAGACACGGCCCAGACUCCUACGGGAGGCAGCAGUGGGGAAUCUUCCGCAAUGGGCGAAAGCCUGACGGAGCAACGCCGCGUGAGCGAAGAAGGUCUUCGGAUUGUAAAGCUCUGUGAUAUUGGACGAACAAUUUCCCGUAAAUAAUGGGAAGGAAUGACGGUACAAUAAGAGGAAGCCACGGCUAACUACGUGCCAGCAGCCGCGGUAAUACGUAGGUGGCAAGCGUUAUCCGGAAUUAUUGGGCGUAAAGGGUGCGUAGGCGGUUUAUUAAGUCUAUGGUGAAAGUGCGGGGCUCAACCCCGUAUGGCCAUAGAAACUGAUAGACUUGAGUGCAGGAGAGGGCAAUGGAAUUCCAUGUGUAGCGGUAAAAUGCGUAGAUAUAUGGAGGAACACCAGUGGCGAAGGCCGGUUUCCUGGCCUGUAACUGACGCUGAGGCACGAAAGCGUGGGGAGCAAAUAGGAUUAGAUACCCUGGUAGUCCACGCUGUAAACGAUGAGUGCUAGGUGUCGGGGGUAUCGACCCCCUCGGUGCCACAGCUAACGCAAUAAGCACUCCGCCUGGGGAGUACGGCCGCAAGGUUGAAACUCAAAGGAAUUGACGGGGGCCCGCACAAGCGGUGGAGUAUGUGGUUUAAUUCGACGCAACGCGAAGAACCUUACCAAGGCUUGACAUCCCGUGACAGCCAUGGAAACAUGGUCUUGCAAGUUUACUUGCCCGGAGACAGGUGGUGCAUGGUUGUCGUCAGCUCGUGUCGUGAGAUGUUGGGUUAAGUCCCGCAACGAGCGCAACCCCUGUGUUUAGUUGCUAACGCGUAGUGGCGAGCACUCUAGACAGACUGCCGGUGAUAAACCGGAGGAAGGUGGGGAUGACGUCAAAUCAUCAUGCCCCUUAUGUUCUGGGCUACACACGUGCUACAAUGGCCGGUACAGACGGAAGCGAAGCCGCGAGGUGAAGCAAAACCGAGAAAGCCGGUCUCAGUUCGGAUUGCAGGCUGCAACUCGCCUGCAUGAAGUCGGAAUCGCUAGUAAUCGCAGGUCAGCAUACUGCGGUGAAUACGUUCCCGGGCCUUGUACACACCGCCCGUCACACCACGAAAGUCGGCAACACCCGAAGCCGGUGACUCAACCCGAAAGGGAGAGAGCCGUCGAAGGUGGGGUUGGUAAUUGGGGUGAAGUCGUAACA